Elgaria multicarinata webbii is the source of this 107-nucleotide small nuclear RNA. Lineage: Eukaryota; Metazoa; Chordata; Lepidosauria; Squamata; Anguidae. The record is from RefSeq and is a predicted model, not a curated record.
AUGCUAGCUUCGUCAGCACAUAUACUAAGAUUGGAACAAUACAGAGAUGAUUAACAUGGCCCCUGUGCAAGGAUGACGCGCAAAUUCGUGAAACGUUCUAUAUUUUU